Long non-coding RNA from Lycium barbarum (goji berry), 1576 nucleotides. RefSeq lists it as uncharacterized. The record is from RefSeq and is a predicted model, not a curated record. The transcript is spliced from 2 exons. NCBI's taxonomy places the organism in Eukaryota, Viridiplantae, Streptophyta, Magnoliopsida, Solanales, Solanaceae.
CAGGAUUCCCCUACUUUCCCCCGUGGAAUCCUUUGAUCAACAAUUUCUUAUAGCUCUCUUGUCAUUAUACAUCUUGCCACCCAUUCGACCAAGUUUUCCUAUGACUCUAACGCAUAAUCCUAAGGUUAAAACGAAAUCCAAUAAUGAAUCUGGAAAUAAUUUUCUAUGACAAAAGAAGCAAACCUGUAGGUGGCUCAAUGAAGAAGAACAUCUUUCUGGUUCAUUACUCUUUUUCUGACGCUGUUAUUGACACAAGCCUAAAAUUCCCAUUACUUGGAACUCUUAUCGAGUUCUUAUACUUAACUUCCAGUAACUAAAACAACUUCUAAUGUGAAAAAUACCUUUAGUUGGAUCUGUUACUACUAAGUUCAAGUGGAAGGGUGUACUAUAAUUGAGACCAAAAGUUAGACUUUAAGGGCAAUUAUAACAAUUCCUGGUAGUUAAAAUAGAUGAUCGAAGCAAUGCCCAACAGUUAAUAUUGGCACCUAAAACCAUUCUAAUUGAUAGAUCAAUCACUCAUGAACUUGCAUAUAUGUAGUUAAUAUCAGCCCUGUCUGAAGUUUUCCUGGUAGCUUUAACUCGCAAUAUGUCUUGCCGGUCUUGGCCACCCAUUCAACCACGUUUACCAAUGACUCCAAUGCCCAAUCCUAAGGUUAAAAAGAAACCACAUAAUGAAGUUGGGAAUAUUUUUCUAUGAUAAAAGCAUCAAACCUGUAGGUGGCUCAAUGAAGAAAAACAUCUUUCCGGUUCAUUACUCUUUGUCUGACACUAUUAAUUUUCACAUCACAUACUUCUUGCUAAAUUUUCUUCAACUACCUGACAUCUUCCCAUUCUCUUGUACGGCUUUCUUAGGUGGAUACUGCUCAGUUACCAUCUUCAACGGCACAGGAUUCCUGCAAUGUAUGCCCAAACAGCAGAUCCCGCACAACAAUUUCCGCCAAAGAAGUGUCCAGUUAUUGUUCUACCUCGAAGCCCCAUAGACCUGAUGUGCCCGACCAUCUCACAAUUGCGGAUUCAAUAUCUGAGAAAAAAAUGGGAACAACUGAGAGACCAACUUUAUGGAGGAGUUCUCAAUCAUCCCACAAACACAGAAUGACUCCGCAUAUAUUUGUUACUGUAUUAAUUAAAAAUUAUAAUAUUACAUGUAUUAUCUCUUCUGAUGACCAGAACAAAAUUCAACUAUAGCUAUUAUGGGAGUUAUAAAGCUGGAAGCGAACAAGCUAAAUAUCCUCAAGGUAGCAACAAUCAGGACACAAAGUAGCAGUAUAUUGAGGAAAUGAAAACCCCUGCUAUUUUUACAUUUAUUUUCAUCAUUUCGUAAUAUUAUUUAAAACUCCAAUUACAUUUGUGGCAUUUGAUAUAUAGUUUAUGAGACAACAAUAUCUACAAGGCUCCCGCAGCGAAGAUAUCAAAUUAAUCAUUUCUACAGCCUGUUACUUAUUUAGUUGGAUUUCCCACCAAUUAAUGUAUGAAUAAAGAUGAUCUAAUAAAGGUAACUCGGUUGUCUUUAUGUAUUUUACGUAUCAAUAUUUGUCGUCUUGGUUUCUACAAUAGAUCAUUAUGCAUUAAUACCAAA